Molecule: ribosomal RNA, 526 nt
Filed under: Isoperla obscura
Lineage: Eukaryota; Metazoa; Arthropoda; Insecta; Plecoptera; Perlodidae
Description: eukaryotic LSU rRNA
Rfam family: Eukaryotic large subunit ribosomal RNA
Source: RNAcentral
UAAAGGCGAAAUGAAAGUAAAUGCCGGCCGCCUCCGCGGUCGGUNUAGGAGUGAUGCCGCGCCUUUGAAUUGAAUUUCUUUACACAAGCCGGCCGCAACUCCGGGGCGUCUCGUUGUCAUCGCGACACAGCAGGCGCACCUGAAGCGUACACGUUGGGACCCGAAAGAUGGUGAACUAUGCCUGGCCAGGUCGAAGUCAGGGGAAACCCUGAUGGAGGACCGUAGCGAUUCUGACGUGCAAAUCGAUCGUCAGAGCUGGGUAUAGGGGCGAAAGACUAAUCGAACCAUCUAGUAGCUGGUUCCCUCCGAAGUUUCCCUCAGGAUAGCUGGUGCCCGACGUAUAUCCAGUAUGAAGUUGCCGCUCGCGCGGCAUCGCGACCAGUCUCAUCUGGUAAAGCGAAUGAUUAGAGGCAUUGGGGCCGAAACGGCCUCAACCUAUUCUCAAACUUUAAAUGGGUGAGAUCCUCGACUUGCUUAAGUGCGCUGUCGUUGAAGUCGAUCCCGCAGGAUAAACGGGCACGUAGUG